GCAAGGAAUUUCCCAAGCCAUCAAAUCAGAGGGAAACUUACACAGCAAUCAAAUUCACAAUCACGAAAAUUACUUCCUUUUCAUCACGCUUUUGCCCCGAAUUCAAUGCUCCCACUCCACCACCAACUUCACACACCAACCACCUUUUCCUUCCACGCCUCAAACUACAUACUUGAAAUUCUCGACUUUAGUCCAUUCAGAAAUUAACCCAUAAAACUACCUCCACCAGCACGGCAGCACCAAGUUGAUAAUCACAAAAAGAUUGGAU
RNAcentral lists this long non-coding RNA (268 nucleotides) under Glycine max (soybean). RNAcentral describes it as "long non-coding RNA (GMAX_LNC004011)". The record is from RNAcentral. Lineage: Eukaryota; Viridiplantae; Streptophyta; Magnoliopsida; Fabales; Fabaceae.